This 76-nucleotide transfer RNA is filed under the name Labrenzia sp. THAF35. RNAcentral's name for it is "tRNA-Pro". It matches the Rfam family "tRNA". From Rfam's summary of the family: Transfer RNA (tRNA) molecules are approximately 80 nucleotides in length. Lineage: Bacteria; Pseudomonadati; Pseudomonadota; Alphaproteobacteria; Hyphomicrobiales; Stappiaceae. The record is from RNAcentral.
CAGCGUGUAGCUCAGAAGGGAGAGCGCCGGUUUUGGGAACCGGAGGCCGCAGGUUCGAGCCCUGCUACGCUGACCA